Molecule: ribosomal RNA, 423 nt
Filed under: uncultured bacterium
Lineage: Bacteria
Description: bacterial SSU rRNA
Rfam family: Bacterial small subunit ribosomal RNA
Source: RNAcentral
GAAUUUUGGGCAAUGGCCGAAAGGCUGACCCAGCGACGCCGCGUGCGGGAGGACGCCCUUCGGGGUGUAAACCGCUGUCAGAGGGGACGAAAGGCCGGGGUGGGAAUACUGCCCUGGAGUGACGGUACCCUCAGAGGAAGCACCGGCUAACUCUGUGCCAGCAGCCGCGGUAAUACAGAGGGUGCGAGCGUUGUUCGGAAUCAUUGGGUUUAAAGGGUCCGUAGGCGGGACAAUAAGUCAGUGGUGAAAGUCUGCAGCUUAACUGUAGAAUUGCCGUUGAAACUGUUGUUCUUGAGUAAUUAUGAAGUGGUUAGAAUAUGUAGUGUAGCGGUGAAAUGCAUAGAUAUUACAUAGAAUACCGAUUGCGAAGGCAGAUCACUAAUAAUUCACUGACGCUGAUGGACGAAAGCGUAGGUAGCGAAC